Molecule: ribosomal RNA, 440 nt
Filed under: uncultured bacterium
Lineage: Bacteria
Description: partial 16S ribosomal RNA
Rfam family: Bacterial small subunit ribosomal RNA
Source: RNAcentral
CCUACGGGGGGCAGCAGUGGGGAAUAUUGCACAAUGGGGGAAACCCUGAUGCAGCGACGCCGCGUGAGUGAAGAAGUAUUUCGGUACGUAAAGCUCUAUCAGCAGGGAAGAAAAUGACGGUACCUGACUAAGAAGCCCCGGCGAACUACGUGCCAGCAGCCGCGGUAAUACGUAGGGGGCAAGCGUUAUCCGGAUUUACUGGGUGUAAAGGGAGCGUAGACGGCAGCGCAAGUCUGGAGUGAAAUCCCAUGGCUGAACCAUGGAACUGCUUUGGAAACUGUGCAGCUAGAGUGCAGGAGAGGUAAGCGGAAUUCCUAGUGUAGCGGUGAAAUGCGUAGAUAUUAGGAGGAACACCAGUGGCGAAGGCGGCUUACUGGACUGUAACUGACGUUGAGGCUCGAAAGCGUGGGGAGCAAACAGGAUUAGAUACCCGUGUAGUC